This 93-nucleotide non-coding RNA is filed under the name uncultured Exiguobacterium sp. RNAcentral describes it as "SAM riboswitch (S box leader)". It matches the Rfam family "SAM riboswitch aptamer (S box leader)". From Rfam's summary of the family: The SAM riboswitch is found upstream of a number of genes which code for proteins involved in methionine or cysteine biosynthesis in Gram-positive bacteria. The SAM riboswitch acts at the level of transcription termination control. Lineage: Bacteria; Bacillati; Bacillota; Bacilli; Caryophanales. The record is from RNAcentral.
UAUCAAGAGAAGCGGAGGGACUGGCCCGAUGAAGCUUCAGCAACAGAUUGUUUCAAUACUGUGCUAAUUCCAGCAAGGUGACCUUGAGAGAUG